AACGAACGCUGGCGGCGUGCCUAAUACAUGCAAGUCGAACGAGAAAGCGUAGCAAUACGUUAGUAAAGUGGCAGACGGGUGAGUAAUACAUAGGUAAUCUACCUUCGAGAUGGGGAUAACCUUCCGAAAGGAGGGCUAAUACCGAAUGAGACCACAGAGAUUAAUUUCUCAGGGGUUAAAGGUGACCUCUAUUUAUAAGUUAUCGCUUGAAGAUGAGCUUAUGCACCANCAGCUAGUUGGUAGGUAAUGGCCUACCAAGGCUUUGACGGUUAGCUGAUCUGAGAGGUUGAUCAGCCACACUGGAACUGAGACACGGUCCAGACUCCUACGGGAGCAGCAGUAGGGAAUAUUGCG
Molecule: ribosomal RNA, 354 nt
Filed under: uncultured bacterium
Lineage: Bacteria
Description: bacterial SSU rRNA
Rfam family: Bacterial small subunit ribosomal RNA
Source: RNAcentral